GACGAACGCUGGCGGCGUGCUUAACACAUGCAAGUCGAACGGAAAGGCCCUGCUUUUGUGGGGUGCUCGAGUGGCGAACGGGUGAGUAACACGUGAGUAACCUGCCCUUGACUUUGGGAUAACUUCAGGAAACUGGGGCUAAUACCGGAUAGGAGCUCCUGCUGCAUGGUGGGGGUUGGAAAUUUUCGGCGGUAGGGGAUGGACUCGCGGCUUAUCAGCUUGUUGGUGGGGCAGUGGCUUACCAAGGCUUUGACGGGUAGCCGGCCUGAGAGGGUGACCGGCGACAUUGGGACUGAGAUACGGACCAGAGUGCAACGGGGGGCAGUGGGGGGGAAUAUUGCACAAUGGGCGGGAGUCUGAGGCAGAGGCGCCGGGUGCGGGAUGACGGCUUUCGUGUUGUAAACCGCUGUCGCCUGUGACGAAGCGGGAGUGACGGUAAUGGGUAAAGAAGCACCGGCUAACUACGUG
Molecule: ribosomal RNA, 468 nt
Filed under: uncultured bacterium
Lineage: Bacteria
Description: partial 16S ribosomal RNA
Rfam family: Bacterial small subunit ribosomal RNA
Source: RNAcentral